This 464-nucleotide ribosomal RNA is filed under the name uncultured bacterium. RNAcentral's name for it is "partial 16S ribosomal RNA". It matches the Rfam family "Bacterial small subunit ribosomal RNA", at positions 28 to 507 of the family's 1533-position model. The record is from RNAcentral.
GACGAACGCUGGCGGCGUGCUUAACACAUGCAAGUCGAACGGAAAGGCCCCUUUGGGGGUACUCGAGUGGCGAACGGGUGAGUAACACGUGAGUAACCUGCCCUUGACUUCGGGAUAACUUCAGGAAACUGGGGCUAAUACCGGAUAGGAAUCCUUGCUGCAUGGUGGGGGUUGGAAAGCUUCGGCGGUUUUGGAUGGACUCGCGGCUUAUCAGCUUGUUGGUGGGGUAGUGGCUUACCAAGGCUUUGACGGGUAGCCGGCCUGAGAGGGCGACCGGCCACAUUGGGACUGAGAUACGGCCCAGACUCCUACGGGAGGCAGCAGUGGGGAAUAUUGCACAAUGGGCGGAAGCCUGAUGCAGCAACGCCGCGUGCGGGAUGACGGCCUUCGGGUUGUAAACCCUUUCAGCAGGGGCGAAGCUUGUGGUGACGGUACCUGCAGAAGAAGCACCGGCUAACUACGUG